RNAcentral lists this unclassified non-coding RNA (312 nucleotides) under plant metagenome. RNAcentral's name for it is "partial contains 5.8S ribosomal RNA, internal transcribed spacer 2, and large subunit ribosomal RNA". The stretch from base 1 to 105 matches the Rfam family "5.8S ribosomal RNA", at positions 50 to 154 of the family's 154-position model. The record is from RNAcentral.
GAAAUGCGAUAAGUAAUGUGAAUUGCAGAAUUCCGUGAAUCAUCGGAUCUUUGAACGCACAUUGCGCCCUCUGGCAUUCCGGGGGGCAUGCCUGUCCGAGCGUCAUUACGCACCCUCAAGCCCGGCUGGUGUGAUGGGCCCUGGCGUCUCGUUCGCGAGACGGGCCCGAAAGGCAGCGGCGGCGUCGACCCGAUGAGCCCGAGCGUAUGGGGACUUUUGUCACACGUUUGCGGUGCGGACCGGCGCCUGCUUGACUUUUCUGAUUAUCCAGGUUGACCUCGGAUCAGGUAGGGAUACCCGCUGAACUUAAGC